CAGUCGCCGCGGUAAUACAGAGGGUGCAAGCGUUAAUCGGAAUUACUGGGCGUAAAGCGCGCGUAGGUGGUUCGCCAAGUUGGAUGUGAAAUCCCUGGGCUCAACCUGGGAACUGCAUCCAAAACUGGCGAGCUAGAGUAUGGUAGAGGGUGGUGGAAUUUCCUGUGUAGCGGUGAAAUGCGUAGAUAUAGGAAGGAACAUCAGUGGCGAAGGCGACCACCUGGACUGAUACUGACACUGAGGUGCGAAAGCGUGGGGAGCAAACAGGAUUAGAUACCCGAGUAGUCCCUGUCUCUUAUAC
Molecule: ribosomal RNA, 301 nt
Filed under: uncultured bacterium
Lineage: Bacteria
Description: partial 16S ribosomal RNA
Rfam family: Bacterial small subunit ribosomal RNA
Source: RNAcentral